AACGCACCUUGCGCCCUUUGGCCAUUCCGAAGGGCAUGCCUGUUUGAGUAUCAUGAACACCUCAACUCUUCAUGGUUUUCCGUGAUGAGCUUGGACUUUGGGGGCUUUGCUGGCCUACAGUCAGCUCCUCUAAAAUGAAUCAGCUUGCCAGUGUUUGGUGGGCAUCACAGGUGUGAUAACUAUCUACGCUUGUGGUUUUCCACCAGGUAGCCUUCAGCAGUGGAGGUUCACUGGAGCUCACAGAUGUCUCUCCUCAGUGAGGACAGCCCUUUGAAUGUUUGAUCUCAAAUCAGGUAGGACUACCCGCUGAACUUAA
Molecule: unclassified non-coding RNA, 316 nt
Filed under: uncultured Thelephoraceae
Lineage: Eukaryota; Fungi; Basidiomycota; Agaricomycetes; Thelephorales; Thelephoraceae
Description: sequence contains ITS2
Source: RNAcentral